Long non-coding RNA from Dendroctonus ponderosae (mountain pine beetle), 664 nucleotides. RefSeq lists it as uncharacterized. Lineage: Eukaryota; Metazoa; Arthropoda; Insecta; Coleoptera; Curculionidae. The record is from RefSeq and is a predicted model, not a curated record. The transcript has 2 exons.
UGUAGAUUUAUUAGUUACUAGAAUAAUGUCUUUAUAAGCAAGACAAAAUUUAGAUUUUGUCAAUAUCGGUUUAUCACUGAUGUGAUAUCCGGGGUAUGACAAUUCAGCACUUUUGUAUAAAAAGGUUAUUAAAAAUCCAUACUGAUCGAUGCGAAAAAUAAAUAUGAGUCAAAAUAUAAAAACCGUGCUUGUGCCUCAGUGUUAUGGUGUGUCUUCAAGACGGAAAUUACGGUAUAAUUAUGGCUUAAAACCCCGCAAACAUGGAAAGGUGAUACCGCUGUUGUGGACUUGAAGCAUUGAAGACGCUAGGGAUCACGUGAGAAAACCACACACGAAAAAUGUUCGCAUAAGAUACCGCAAAAAUGUAAAGGUAUGUUGGUGUUUAAAUUAAAUACAUUUGAUUAUUUUAUUAUUUCGUGUUCUAUACAUACAGGUGAUGUCGCUGCUGUGGCCUUGAAGCAUUGAAGAUGCCAGGGAUCAUCAGAUCUCCAGAUCCAGUGAGAAAACCACACACGAAAAAUUUUCGCAUAAGAGACAAGUAAGGUUGUCUGAACCGAAUUAUUCUUCUAUUAAUGUAAAACUAUUAUCUGUAUUUUUUAUUUUUACCAGUUUGAUUUUGGUUGAUUUCUAUUUUGCGAUAAGCAUGUUUUCUUGGAUCGAAGGA